RNAcentral lists this ribosomal RNA (253 nucleotides) under uncultured bacterium. RNAcentral's name for it is "partial 16S ribosomal RNA". It matches the Rfam family "Bacterial small subunit ribosomal RNA", at positions 524 to 776 of the family's 1533-position model. The record is from RNAcentral.
UACGUAGGGUGCAAGCGUUGUCCGGAAUUAUUGGGCGUAAAGAGCUCGUAGGCGGUCUGUCGCGUCGGCUGUGAAAACUCGGGGCUUAACCCUGGGCUGGCAGUGGAUACGGACAGACUAGAGGUAGGUAGGGGAGAAUGGAAUUCCCGGUGUAGCGGUGAAAUGCGCAGAUAUCGGGAAGAACACCCAUGGCGAAGGCAGCUCUCUGGGACGGUACUGACGCUGAGACGCGAAAGCGUGGGGAGCAAACAGG